RNAcentral lists this ribosomal RNA (497 nucleotides) under uncultured bacterium. Its description in RNAcentral is "partial 16S ribosomal RNA". It matches the Rfam family "Bacterial small subunit ribosomal RNA", at positions 28 to 507 of the family's 1533-position model. The record is from RNAcentral.
GAUGAACGCUGGCGGCGUGCCUAAUACAUGCAAGUCGAGCGAACAGACGAGGAGCUUGCUCCUUUGACGUUAGCGGCGGACGGGUGUGUAACACGUAGGUAACCUACCUAUAAGACUGGGAUAACUUCGGGAAACCGGAGCUAAUACCGGAUAAUAUUUCGAACCGCAUGGUUCGAUAGUGAAAGAUGGCUUUGCUAUCACUUAUAGAUGGACCUGCGCCGUAUUAGCUAGUUGGUAAGGUAACGGCUUACCAAGGCAACGAUACGUAGCCGACCUGAGAGGGUGAUCGGCCACACUGGAACUGAGACACGGUCCAGACUCCUACGGGAGGCAGCAGUAGGGAAUCUUCCGCAAUGGGCGAAAGCCUGACGGAGCAACGCCGCGUGAGUGAUGAAGGUCUUCGGAUCGUAAAACUCUGUUAUUAGGGAAGAACAAACGUGUAAGUAACUGUGCACGUCUUGACGGUACCUAAUCAGAAAGCCACGGCUAACUACGUG